AGAUGGUUGAAUAGUCUUGUGCCUUCUCUUGAGGCCAGCCAUUUCCCCAAAUGAAGAGAGGAAGGAAAACAAUGAAAGCAGGUAAUGUUUAUGAUGGGAGAUUGGUGUGCUUUGUUUGAGGGAUGGAAGGAUGGUGGAGAUGGAGGGCCUUCGUCAGUCCUGAGGGAGGACGUUCUGCUUAUGGAAGGAGUGCAACAAAGGUUUUCCAGACUGAUUCCUGGGCUGACAAUAUUUUGCCUUUAUCUGAGACCAAAGUCAUGGCUUACAGCACAGCAGUGAUCCCAUGCUCUUACAGAUUUAGCGACUUGGACAACAUCUAGCAGGCACAAAGCAUUUGGUGAUGCACCAACAACUUCACAAGACCCUUCAAAGUCAAAAAAAAGGUUGCCAACAGCAGCCCUCUCUCCCAGGCCAACUUUGUCAACACCGAGGGACAAAUCAUUCAAAACCAGCUCCACUGUGUAGAAUGUGUCACUCGUAUACAGAACACCAAACUCACAAAGCAACUGCUCAACUCUGAACUUAGCUGUGGCAGCAGACACCCAAGGGGACAGUGGAAACACUUUAAAGAUGUCCUCAAAACACUGCUGAAGAAGUUAAAUGUCUCCAUCAGCAAGUGAGAGUCCGUGUCUGGAGACGGACCAAAAUGGAGAAGGUUGAUCCAUAAAGGCACCAAGCACAAGACAUCAAGACUUCAGCAAGAAUGUGCAGGAUAAAAAUUGAGACACAAGAGGGAGCUCAUAAACCUCCAAAUAACCAUCAAUCCAAUAUGCAUGUAAACUGGAGGAGAAACACGUUAUAACAAAAACAAAGU
Rhincodon typus (whale shark) is the source of this 814-nucleotide long non-coding RNA. RefSeq lists it as uncharacterized. The transcript is spliced from 3 exons. The record is from RefSeq and is a predicted model, not a curated record. Lineage: Eukaryota; Metazoa; Chordata; Chondrichthyes; Orectolobiformes; Rhincodontidae.